RNAcentral lists this microRNA (22 nucleotides) under Rhipicephalus microplus (southern cattle tick). Its description in RNAcentral is "rmi-miR-5330". The record is from miRBase by way of RNAcentral. Lineage: Eukaryota; Metazoa; Arthropoda; Arachnida; Ixodida; Ixodidae.
CAAUUGUAGGAGCUUCUCGGUG